UCAAAUAUGACAUUUUGAGCUCCUCUCCUGAUUUCAAAAGAUUCUUAAAAAUGAAUUUCAGUUAUUCCUUAAUCAAACCAGACCUGUAGGACACUAGAGCAGUCCAGAACAUCCGAAAAGAAGGAAUCCAGCACCCCGGCUCAUCACCCAGACCACCCUCGUCCG
Hippocampus comes (tiger tail seahorse) is the source of this 165-nucleotide long non-coding RNA. RefSeq lists it as uncharacterized. Lineage: Eukaryota; Metazoa; Chordata; Actinopteri; Syngnathiformes; Syngnathidae. The transcript has 2 exons. The record is from RefSeq and is a predicted model, not a curated record.